UGGCACAGAAUAGAAAGUGAUGUUCUGUAUCUUUGGCUUGCACAAAUAAUAGAGGUCGACUCUAGGGUCAUCCCCUUUGGGUGUGCUAGUCAAAAAUAGCAUGCCGUUCAGCUCCUUUUGACAGGGGUCGACCCUUUUCUUUAAACUUGAUUUUCUCUCAAAAUAUAUAUCCAAAAAAUAUGAAAUUACCUCCAAUAGAUCACAAAUCUUCUAUUCUUGCUCUUGAG
RNAcentral lists this long non-coding RNA (227 nucleotides) under Elaeis guineensis (African oil palm). RNAcentral's name for it is "long non-coding RNA (EGUI_LNC066658)". Lineage: Eukaryota; Viridiplantae; Streptophyta; Magnoliopsida; Arecales; Arecaceae. The record is from RNAcentral.